GACGAAGAAGAAGAACGGAAAAAGAGGGAGUCAGCGUAACUCAGAGCAGGAAGGGGAUAUUUUUGGUAGUAGCAGGUAGGGCACAAGGCAAGGUGUAGUUGGCAGCUCAUGUUUGUUAGACCAACAACCAGGAGAAGAGCAACCAGCAGCACUUUGAGAAACGGUAGGAAUGUCCACACGAUGUUUCAAGACGGUUUGUUUUUGUGCUAAUGCUAACGCUAACGCGAACGGUAACACUUGGCCCUGCAAAGUAUAGGCUCGUGUCGGAUCAUGACAAGUGAACGGCAUUUUUAGAUACAGUUUGACUUCCUCAGUUAGACUAGUGGAGGAGUUUAUCUGUCGUUUUCGACCUGAAGACGGGAUAGAGACUCUUGAGCGUGGAGUAGCCAGGAUUCCACUCGUGAGUUUCGCUGGACACGUGGAGGAGUUGAGACGAACGACGGAGCACGUGUAGGAUUGCUGAUCGGAGGCUGGGCUUGGUCCGGUGAUCGUUGGAGACAGAACAGUAGCCGGUUAUGGACUCAAGAGUCCACGACCUAUAAACUCCAUUAGAGGACCACGAUUUGGAUGAAACUGGGACUCAAAUUCUGCAGCAACGUCCCAACACACAAUGGAGGUUGGGCUUUGAAUGAACCACAUACAAGAUAGAAAGGGUUUGGAGAGGCGUUCAUAACGGCCUUCUUGGAUCUCUCCUACUCCAUCUUUACCUUGAGGGGGAAGGCCUUCUCAACCACAAACUCAUAAAACAUCAUUAUCCAGGAUGGCUGGACCUGCUGCGACAGCUGCGACUACGUACCGAGGGAAACCAGUUCCACUGAGGGAAACCAGUCCACCCCGCAGCUGUGGAGUCUCCAUGAACACCAGGCCCAGCAGUCAUUUUAUUUUUACUAUGACCUUACUUUCCUACAUGGGACAAUGUCAACAUGAACCGUAUCUCACAUUACACUACGUUUUUAAUAAUGUGGGGAAGGUUUAUUUCAAAGUGCACAUAUCAGAAGCAUGAUGUAACUAACAGAGAGGCCUGUACAUUUUUAGUCUGCAUAUCAUGGGCACUUGCUAAAAUAGUGUUCAAAUUAGUGUUUUAGAGACAUCAUUAUACAUCAUAGCUCUCUCUUCCCUAUAUAUUAAUUCAUCGGCUCUCUGGGAUUGUACUCCAUCUCUUUCUGUUGCCAUAGCUGUUCAUUUUCAUCCAGAAUCCAAUGAAGUUAUAAAACCAGUGAUAUUUACAACAAGGUUCUAAAAUAUAAAUAACUAACUGAAAAUAACUCAGCUCUGUAGAAAUGUUGACCAUAAGAAUAUAAACUUUUGGCUGAACAGACACUUUAACCUGAACCCUUUUAACUGCAGGUCCACAUGGAGGUUGGAGUUGACUGGACUGGACUGUGUGGUCAUAGUCAGCCUGGUAUUCUGGUCCCUGAAGUUCAGCUGAAUGCUUAAUGUCAGACGUGCUCCAGUAAAUGCCUCCGUCACCAGCUGCAUGACGCAGGGGAAGUUAAAUAAAUGCUCUGAUUAAGCAUGGAUCUGAAAUCU
Pungitius pungitius (ninespine stickleback) is the source of this 1530-nucleotide long non-coding RNA. RefSeq lists it as uncharacterized. Lineage: Eukaryota; Metazoa; Chordata; Actinopteri; Perciformes; Gasterosteidae. The record is from RefSeq and is a predicted model, not a curated record. The transcript is spliced from 3 exons.